GCACGGGCACUUUCGGGUGUCAGUGGCGGACGGGUGAGGAACGCGUACGUAUCUAUCCUUGAGUCGGGGGAUAACUGACGGAAACUUCAGCUAAUACCGCAUGGUACCGUAAGGUUAAAGGCGUAAGCCGCUAAAGGAGGAGCCUGCGUGCGAUUCGCUACUUGGUGGGGUAACGGCUUAUUUUUGCGACGAUCGAUAGCUGGUCUGAGAGGAUGAUCAGCCACACUGGGAGUGAGACACGGCCCAUACUCCUACGGGAUGCAGCAGUCGGGAAUAUCGGACUAUGGGGCGCAAUCCUGAUCCAUCAAUGCCGGGUGUGUGAAGAAGGUGUUACGAUUGUAAACCAUUUUCGACGUGGACCACGAUGACGGUACCCGUAUAAUAAGCCCCGGGCUUACUCCCGCCCG
Molecule: ribosomal RNA, 407 nt
Filed under: uncultured bacterium
Lineage: Bacteria
Description: bacterial SSU rRNA
Rfam family: Bacterial small subunit ribosomal RNA
Source: RNAcentral